GGUCCCUAUCCGUCGCGGGCGUUGGAAAUUUGAGAGGAGCUGUCCUUAGUACGAGAGGACCGGGAUGGACUUACCGCUGGUGUACCAGUUGUCUCGCCAGAGGCAUCGCUGGGUAGCUAUGUAGGGAAGGGAUAAACGCUGAAAGCAUCUAAGUGUGAAGCCCACCUCAAGAUGAGAUUUCCCAUUUCUUUAAGAAAGUAAGAUCCCUGAGAGAUGAUCAGGUAGAUAGGUCAGAAGUGGAAGGCCAGUGAUGGUUGGAGCGGACUGAUACUAAUCGAUCGAGGACUUAACCAC
This 294-nucleotide ribosomal RNA is filed under the name Enterococcus gallinarum. RNAcentral's name for it is "partial 23S ribosomal RNA". It matches the Rfam family "Bacterial large subunit ribosomal RNA", at positions 2633 to 2925 of the family's 2925-position model. The record is from RNAcentral. Lineage: Bacteria; Bacillati; Bacillota; Bacilli; Lactobacillales; Enterococcaceae.